This 142-nucleotide microRNA precursor is filed under the name Pelobates cultripes (western spadefoot toad). The record is from RNAcentral. Lineage: Eukaryota; Metazoa; Chordata; Amphibia; Anura; Pelobatidae.
GCCAAUCAGCAGCAGACUCUCCCUCCCAGACCCUCCCACCUCCUGGACAGCUCACUAAGAAUGCAGCUUCACAAUGAAUGUAAAAUGGAUGCUGUCCAGGAGGUGGGAGGGUCUGGGAGGGAGGGUCUGCUGCUCAUUGGCU